GCGUCUUCCUUUAUAAAAUGAGUUGUAAUUUUUUAAGAGCGAGUAGAUGGACACAGUCAAAGUUGCAAUUGAUUUGAAAGGAAAUGGACAUUUUUGAGGAGAUGCCCGAGAGGGGAAAGACUUCAUUUUAAUCCCGUAUUCGCUUCACUGGUCUGGAACCUGAGCAGCUCUAUCGUCUAAGGUAAGAGGAAUUAAAUGUUUUUUUUUAAUGUUUAAUCUUAGCAUUCAAUGGAGAGAAUACCUAUGAAAGAGAAAGUGUGCAUAGGCUACUCAAAUCAUGCAUGAUUAACGCGCACACUCGCAGUGUGGAUUCAAUGAGGCCCAUAUUUAAAUAUAUCGUUAUAUGUAGGACAAAAAUAUUAAAUUACAUAACAAGUCAGCAUCACACAGAGAGCAACCUAAUUGGCACGAUAAGAUUGAAAAUAAAUUGAAUUGUGGAAACUUACGGACUCAAGGCGGCCGUCAGCUUCAGGCUGUGGUGACGGUUCGGGUAAAGAGGCAUCAGGUGGGACAGCCGUAGUGCUGGCCGCUGCAGGAGUGCUACAGCUGGCAAACACCGAAACACCAAAUGUUUCCUGUCCCAAAGACCGAGAAGAAGGCGUCGUACUCCAUCCGCUUGGUGGGCAUCCAGUCCUCAAAUACUGAAGGUGCGUCCGUUUAAUGUGGCGAAAGAAAGAGUUAAAAACUCUAAAGUCCUGUUCACAUCCAUCAAUACCACAGUAAACCCCAAAAUCCGGGCUGCGACUGUGACUUUUAUUAAUGUGGCUAAGGAGUACUUUAAGACUUAAAGCAACAAAGACGAAACAUAUCAUACACCUCCACGCCGCCAUGAUGCACCGUUGUUGUCGCGGGCUAAUGAUCCAGGGGUGGAUGGGGAGGGGGGCACUCAUGAAAUAAUUUGUUAUUAUUUUAACAAUACAUUCCUCUAAUUAUAAAUGCGACUUAAUUAAUUUUACGAUGGUAAGUUUUUUAAAAAUAAUAUUUUGCUAACAUGUUCAUGUUUACGUCCGAUCAUUUCUGCGCAUCCUCAGUUCAUGUCCUCCAACGGUCCCACCUCAAUGACGUCAGUGUUCGCGGUUCACCGCUUGAGUAACUGAAAGAUUUGGGUGCGUUACAUUUGACGAAGAAGUGCAAGAAGAGCGGCUCAAUGUCAGUAAACUUUAUUGAAUUAGUAAAUAUUACUAUGUCGGUAUAUGCUUAGCAAGCUAGCUAAUUGUUAGCUAAUGUGCACUUUUACACGCUAGCCGUUAGCUAACGAACUCUGUUUGCCUAUGGGUUUUCCCGGGUAGUUCUACGGUACCGCCUGUUAAUGCUUCAGGGAGCUGAUGAAUCUAAGAUGGAUACUUUUGACGAUGCCACUCUAUCGGUGUUGGAGGCUGCCAGUGUUGAUGAGGAGGCUUUGAAAGGCCUUAGCCGGGAUGACCUGAGGGAUCUUUUUCCUGGCCCAGAGAAUUUCCUCAAAAGAAAGAAACUUUGGAAUUUCAUCAGUGAAAAUUGUGAAAAUACCACGGACCAAGAUGCCAACAAUUGUGCCAUGCCACCAUGCCAGCCUCAAACCUCAACCCCCAUAUCUGCUGAGAAAAAAAUGAAAAUGCCAGACCCUCCAGAGUAUGUGGUGUACACAGAUUCAGAGUUAGACAUGGUGCGUAGUCAAUACUUUGCACUGCUCUGCAAUGGAAAGGAAAAAAAUUACAAACUGUCCAAGGAGCUAUGUUGCAGACUUGUAAGGAACACAAUAACCAGUAUGGUUGCUAUCCUGCGUGCUAGUCCCAUGGGGAAAGAAGUCAGUUACCCGUCAAAAUUGGAAAUAAGAGCCAUGUCACAGAAGAUUAUAGACUAUUACCCAAUGUUACGGGAUGAUGAUCCAAACAUGCCUUAUCUGACUAUCUACACCAAAAUGUACAAGCGACUCCAAAAUAUGAGAUCCCCACGGAAGAGGCAAGGCUCUGUACCACAAAGAGGAGUGGCAAAGACAGCUCUCUUCAGUGCAGACAACCAAGACAUGGAGACGGAUUGGACAGACACAAGCAACUCAAGUGAUAAUACCUUACUUCUUGAGAGCAAUGAUGACCUUACCGAGGACAACUCCAGUGAAGCAUUCCCAGCACAUCGACCCCCCUCUGUGCCAAGGAAGCCAAAGACCAAAACCUUCCUGCUGCCAUCCGCAUCAGCCUCAGGCUCCUCACUCAGGACUGUGAUCGCUUCACCAACCACGCCUGCAAAGGAUGAUGUUGUCGGCCAGGACAGUCUGAAAAUGCAGGCUAGGCACUACAAAACCUUGAGCAACAUGUACAAUAAGCCAAAUGCAAAACCCAAUCAAAGUGAUGUUGCUCAAGUUUUAGACCUUGAGUUUAAGGCCAGACGGGCUUUCAUUGAUGCAGAUGUUACAAGGGAAGAAGACCGACCUGCAAAAAUCUUUGAGGCAUAUCCAUGCUUUAGAGAUGUUCGAAAUGCAAUGGAUGAGCUGCGGCGCAUAGUAGGUGGCACCAACAGCAGAUACAUCGAGGAAGUGAAAGGAAGAUGGGCAGACUUUUGUGCCAAGGUGCAGUUCUAUGGUGUGUGGAAGAAAGCCCUGAAACCCCCCUUUCCAUUGGAUGUCCGUGGAGUGGAGUUCACGCUUGCCCUCUUCAAUGCACUCCCAUCCCUUUUCCCCUCACCAACUUCACCACCAAAGAAGCUUGGAAAUAGCUGUGAGGCACUUCUUCAUGUCCUGAAGUCAGGCGAAGACCCUGCCCUGUACCUGGAAAAGCAUCCUCUCUCCUCCCCAGUUCUGCUUUCUGAUGGCUCAACCACCAUUGUGGCUGUGGGUAAUGUACCUGUGACCACCCUCCCUCAGGAAGAUUUCUCAGACGGGAUGUUGGUGUUAAUGGCAUAUUACUACACUUUGCACUUAAGAUAUCCAAAAUGUGUUGCAACGCUCCUGUCAGUUAUUCAAACAGAGGUAAUUGGUGACACAAUCCACGAUCAAGAUGCCACUAGUGCUUACAGGAAAGCAAUGGCUGAUUGGAAGUCUUUCAUUGAGAAGUAGCUGAGUAUUUUGUCAUGCCAGUUCUUAUUGUUAGCUGUGAGUUCUUAUUGUUAGCUGUGCCUAAUAAUAGUUUUGUGUUGCACAAGCUUAUACAGUCACUGAGUUAUUACCUCAUUUAGGCCUGUAUUUAAAAUGAUAGUUAAGGAAAAAUCCAUAACUGAGGGCUGAGAAGUGUUUUUGUUUUUUGCCCUUUUGCUUUUAAUUUCUUUUAUUUUUAUGGAAAAGUAUUCAAAUGUCUAUAGCAAACUUGACUUGCUGAUGUUAAAUAAAUGUUGUCUUAAGCCAUGUUAUUUCUGCACCAUUAUUCUAAAAAAGGACAGGCUUUAGAUUUUAAGAUGCUCAAAGUAAGAAAACAAAAUGGGUAAUUGCUUAUAUUUAGUAUAUUUCACUUAUUUUGAGGCUGUAAAAGUUUAAAUUUAAGUAAUCUAGUCUUAAAAACAGCAUUUUAUGCUUAUAUUUAGUAUAUUUCACUUAUU
Long non-coding RNA from Gasterosteus aculeatus aculeatus (three-spined stickleback), 3504 nucleotides. NCBI's taxonomy places the organism in Eukaryota, Metazoa, Chordata, Actinopteri, Perciformes, Gasterosteidae. The record is from Ensembl.